GGGGGCUACAAAGGGCAUACGGUGAAUGCCUUGGCACUAGCAAGCGAUGAAGGACGUGGCAAGCUGCGAUAAGCUUCGGUGAGCUGCUGGCAAGCUCUGACCCGGAGAUUUCCGAAUGGGGAAACCCGUCAUGAAGAAAUUCAUGUCACUAUGCACUGAAUUCAUAGGUGUAUAGAGCUAACCUGGGGAAGUGAAACAUCUCAGUACCCAGAGGAACAGAAAUCAAAAGAGAUUCCCCUAGUAGCGGCGAGCGAACGGGGAAUAGGCCAAACCAGUUGUACAUGUACGACUGGGGUUGUGGGGCGGCCAAUAUGGAUCAAGAAAAUUAGUGGAACGUUCUGGAAAGUUCGAGCAUAGAGGGUGAUACUCCCGUACACGAAAAUGGAAUUGACCUAGGCCUGUCCCCGAGUACCACAGGACACGUGAAAUCCGGUGGGAAUCUGGGUGGACCAUCAUCCAAGCCUAAAUAUUGUUAGUGACCGAUAGCGUAUAGUACCGUGAGGGAAAGGUGAAAAGUACCCCGAUGAGGGGAGUGAAAGAGUACCUGAAACCGUAUGUCUACAAUCGGUGGAAGAGCUAUGCACAUUAGUGAAUGCUCGACCGCGUACCUUUUGCAUCAUGGGUUGGCGAGUCAACGUUUGCAGCGAGAUUAAGCCGAGAAAGGUGUAGUCGAAGCGAAAGCGAGUCUGAAUAGGGCGUAUAGUUGCAGGCGUUGGACCCGAAGCCGGUCGAUCUACGCAUGGCCAGGUUGAAGCGUGGGUAAUGCCACGUGGAGGACCGAACCCAUUCGAGUUGAAAAUCGUUGGGAUGAGCUGUGCGUAGGGGUGAAAGGCCAAUCAAGAUCGGUGAUAGCUGGUUCUCUCCGAAAGAUAUUUAGGUAUCGCCUCGAAUGUUUAGUGCCGGAGGUAGAGCACUGAAAGGGCUAGGGCGCCCACCAGCGUACCAACCCCUAUCAAACUCCGAAUGCCGGUAACUAUAGUUCGGGAGACAGGCUGCGGGUGAUAAGGUCCGUAGCCAAGAGGGAAACAGCCCAGACCAUCAGCUAAGGUCCCCAAGUUUUAACUAAGUGGAGAAGGAUGUGGAAGCGCAUAGACAACCAGGAGGUUGGCUUAGAAGCAGCAAUCCUUUAAAGAAAGCGUAAUAGCUCACUGGUCAAGUGAAUCUGCGCCGAAAAUGUAACGGGGCUUAAGUUAAACACCGAAGCUAUGGGUUCGUAAUUUAUUACGAGCGGUAGGAGAGCACUGUAGCGCCACUGAAGGUGUACCGAAAGGAAUGCUGGAGGUUCUACAGGAGAUUAUGCCAACAUGAGUAGCGAUAAAACAGGUGAGAAACCUGUUCGCCGAAAACCCAAGGGUUCCUGGGGCAGGAUAAUCCGCCCAGGGUUAGUCGGGUCCUAAGGCGAGGCCGACAGGCGUAGCCGAUGGAAAACAGGUUAAUAUUCCUGUACCAACUUAUUGCGGAUGAAACGAGGAGGGACGGAGAAGGGUAUAGAUACCAGCCUGGUUAUGGAUAUACCAGGUCGAAGCGUGUAGGUGGAUUUCCUAGGAUAAAAACGGGAAGUCUUAACACCAAGGCGUGAUGCGGCAUCAAAUCUUCGGAUGCGAUGUUAGUGGUUGAUCCCAUGCUUCCAAGAAAAGCUUCGCGUUGACAAUAUAGGUUGCUCGUACCCCAAACCGACACGGGUGGGUAGGGUGAGUAUCCCAAGGCGCUUGAGAGAACCGUGGUUAAGGAACUCUGCAAAAUGAUGCCGUAACUUCGGGAGAAGGCAUGCCUUCUAUGGUGAUGGGACUUGCUCCCUGAGCUUAAGGAGGCCGCAGCGAAAUGGGGCUGGCGACUGUUUACCAAAAACACAGGUCUCUGCUAACUCGAAAGAGGAUGUAUAGGGACUGACGCCUGCCCGGUGCCGGAAGGUUAAGGGGAGAUGUAAGGAGUAAUCCGAAGCUUCGAACCGAAGCCCCGGUAAACGGCGGCCGUAACAAUAACGGUCCUAAGGUAGCGAAAUUCCUUGGCGGGUAAGUUCCGUCCUGCACGAAUGGCGUAACGACUUCCCCACUGUCUCAACCACGGACUCAGCGAAAUUGAAUUCGCGGCGCAGAUGCCGUGUACCCGCAGCUAGACGGAAAGACCCCGUGAACCUUUACUGUAACUUGGCAGUGAUAUUCGGAUUGGUUUGUGUAGGAUAGGUGGGAGACUGUGAGACUUGGCCGCUAGGCUAAGAGGAGUCAACCUUGAAAUACCACCCUGAUCAUUUUGGAUAUCUAACCUAGACCCGUUAUCCGGGUCGGGGACCCUGCCUGGUGGGCAGUUUGACUGGGGCGGUCGCCUCCCAAACAGUAACGGAGGCGCNCGANGGUUCNCUCAGCCNGAUUGGAAACCNGGCGUCGAGUGCAAUGGCAAAAGNGAGCUUNACUGCGAGACCGACNGGUCGAGCAGNUGCGAAAGCAGGUCAUAGUGAUCCGGUGGUUCCAUAUGGAAGGGCCAUCGCUCAACGGAUAAAAGGUACUCCGGGAUAACAGGCUGAUCUCCCCCAAGAGUUCAUAUCGACGGGGAGGUUUGGCACCUCGAUGUCGGCUCGUCACAUCCUGGGGCUGAAGUCGGUCCCAAGGGUUUGGCUGUUCGCCAA
RNAcentral lists this ribosomal RNA (2623 nucleotides) under metagenome. Its description in RNAcentral is "bacterial LSU rRNA". It matches the Rfam family "Bacterial large subunit ribosomal RNA", at positions 1 to 2587 of the family's 2925-position model. The record is from RNAcentral.